UAUUAAGCCCCCGGCCAUAUUCAUUAAAAAACACAAUGAUCUAUGACUAUGGACCUAUUUGUUUUUAUAUACAAAGGUAUCAUGAUAUAAUUUUACAGAUAAAGUCCCCUCUUUUUCAAGCCCUCCCUCUCCAGGAAGCCCCCACCUCAAAGGUGCUUGAAAGAAUGAGCUGCCCGUGGGGCUUAAUAAAGAGAUUAUGGUAAAUGGUAAUACUGUACAUUAUAAUGAUUAGAUAAUAAAUUCAAACAAACAUACUUGGAUAUCAAUAAAUUCAAUGAAACAUACUUUAAUAAAUAAAUAAAUUAAUAAUAAAUUUAAUGAAAUAUAUUUG
Paramuricea clavata is the source of this 331-nucleotide non-coding RNA. Lineage: Eukaryota; Metazoa; Cnidaria; Anthozoa; Malacalcyonacea; Plexauridae. The record is from the annotation of a GenBank genome assembly.